RNAcentral lists this ribosomal RNA (433 nucleotides) under uncultured bacterium. RNAcentral's name for it is "partial 16S ribosomal RNA". It matches the Rfam family "Bacterial small subunit ribosomal RNA", at positions 29 to 507 of the family's 1533-position model. The record is from RNAcentral.
AACGAACGCUGGCGGCAUGCCUAACACAUGCAAGUCGAACGAGACCUUCGGGUCUAGUGGCGCACGGGUGCGUAACGCGUGGGAACCUGCCCUUAGGUUCGGAAUAACUCCCCGAAAGGAGUGCUAAUACCGGAUAAUGUCUUCGGACCAAAGAUUUAUCGCCUUUGGAUGGGCCCGCGUUGGAUUAGCUAGUUGGUAGGGUAAAAGCCUACCAAGGCGACGAUCCAUAGCUGGUCUGAGAGGAUGAUCAGCCACACUGGGACUGAGACACGGCCCAGACUCCUACGGGAGGCAGCAGUGGGGAAUAUUAGACAAUGGGCGAAAGCCUGAUCCAGCAAUGCCGCGUGAGUGAUGAAGGCCUUAGGGUUGUAAAGCUCUUUUACCCGGGAUGAUAAUGACAGUACCGGGAGAAUAAGCUCCGGCUAACUCCGUG